This 255-nucleotide ribosomal RNA is filed under the name uncultured bacterium. RNAcentral's name for it is "partial 16S ribosomal RNA". It matches the Rfam family "Bacterial small subunit ribosomal RNA", at positions 524 to 776 of the family's 1533-position model. The record is from RNAcentral.
UACGUAGGGGGGCUAGCGUUGUCCGGAAUCAUUGGGCGUAAAGCGCGUGUAGGCGGUCCGGUAAGUCCGCUGUGAAAGUCGGGGGGCUCAACCCUCGGAUGCCGGUGGAUACUGUCGGGCUUGAGUACGGAAGAGGAGAUUGGAAUUCCUGGUGUAGCGGUGAAAUGCGCAGAUAUCAGGAGGAACACCAACAGCGAAGGCAGAUCUCUGGGACGUUACUGACGCUGAGACGCGAAAGCGUGGGGAGCAAACAGG